CACUUACUUGAGUACAGGUUGCCAGAACCAGGCCACCAACAAAGUCUUUUAAUGCAGAGUUCGGGGAAAGCUGAACAAGCAGAGCCACACGGGCUCACUUCCUUUCUUAUUGCAGUGGAAUGAAUUGUGACUUCUAAAAGGAAAGAUUGAGGUCUUAACCUUAGAACCCUGAAUCAGACUUUGGUUUCAAGUAGAAUCAUUGCAAGUGUGAUGGAACUCACACAUGAAGUCCCGUGGGAAUGCUUGGAGAUGCCAGCAGCCCUUAAAACCAAGAAGAGCCUGGAAGGACUCCUCUCCUGACUCCUGGACUUUACCUCUUCCCAUAAGGCAUGAAGCAGACUUUGUGAGUCAUGCUGGGUUCUACUCUACCCGUUAUAUCUACUUUGAGAUGACUGUACCCUCAACGGUUGAGAUUCCUCAUGUAAACAACCAUUGUCUGGGGAUUCUGCUUUGAUUUGCAGUUUUAAGUAAUUUAAAAAUGAAAAUUAAAAAAUGUGUUGCAGGACCUCUAGAACUCAUGUUUAACAGGCUGUGCCAUACACCCCUGCCUUGCACUGUCCUGACCUCAGCCUUCAGAGACUCCUCCAUGCCCUUUCUUGCCGUUCCUUCGUCCUCUCGGCCUUUGCUAUCUGUAGCACCUCAGUCACCCUCACAGCCAUGGUGGGAGGUAUCUGAUCUGUCUUAUAUCCAAGAGGUGCUAAACUGGGGCUUUCCACAGAUGUGUCCCAACAGCUUCCCAUCCCUAAUAGGGUGGCCUCAGGAACAACUCUCUACUUACCUUACUUUUAAUGCACGAUAAACUGCUCCUCAAAUCAUCUUGGAUAGGAUUUUUCAUUCAUAAAUAAAGUUUGCACCC
This 856-nucleotide long non-coding RNA is filed under the name Rattus norvegicus (Norway rat). RNAcentral describes it as "long non-coding RNA NONRATT000124". The record is from RNAcentral. Lineage: Eukaryota; Metazoa; Chordata; Mammalia; Rodentia; Muridae.